AAGUCGUAACAAGGUUUCCGUAGGUGAACCUGCGGAAGGAUCAUUACUGAGAUAGGGUCUUUGGCCCGACCUCCAACCCUUGCUAAAAAAAUUCUGUUGCUUUGGCGGACCUGUUUUUGACUGCUGGAGUAAUCUGGCUCGUGUCCGCCAGUAGCCUAUUCAAAUUCGUCAACCUUGAUGUCUAAAUACAAAUAUAAUAAAUAAAA
This 206-nucleotide unclassified non-coding RNA is filed under the name plant metagenome. Its description in RNAcentral is "partial contains small subunit ribosomal RNA and internal transcribed spacer 1". The stretch from base 1 to 46 matches the Rfam family "Eukaryotic small subunit ribosomal RNA", at positions 1786 to 1831 of the family's 1831-position model. The record is from RNAcentral.